RNAcentral lists this ribosomal RNA (278 nucleotides) under uncultured bacterium. Its description in RNAcentral is "partial 16S ribosomal RNA". It matches the Rfam family "Bacterial small subunit ribosomal RNA", at positions 80 to 354 of the family's 1533-position model. The record is from RNAcentral.
UACUCCCGCCGGCGACCGGCGCACGGGUGAGUAACACGUAUGAAACCUGCCCGUAGCAGGGGGAUAAGCGGAAGAAAUUCCGUCUAAUACCGCGUAACAACCCGAGGAGGCAUCUCCUCGGGUUUAAAGGAAGCGAUUCCGGCUACGGAUGGUCAUGCGUCGCAUUAGCUAGUUGGCGGGGUAACGGCCCACCAAGGCGACGAUGCGUAGGGGUUCUGAGAGGGAGGUCCCCCACACUGGUACUGAGACACGGACCAGACUCCUACGGGAGGCAGCAG